Molecule: unclassified non-coding RNA, 265 nt
Filed under: fungal sp.
Lineage: Eukaryota; Fungi
Description: partial internal transcribed spacer region
Rfam family: Eukaryotic small subunit ribosomal RNA (bases 1-46)
Source: RNAcentral
AAGUCGUAACAAGGUAACCGUAGGUGAACCUGCGGUUGGAUCAUUACCGAUUUAAGCUAUCUUGAAAAGAUUCCUUGUGCAAGCGAGUCGAGUCUUUUCGAGUUAGCCUUGACCUUUGUGCACUGUUGCUUUAAUUUUGGCGAUAAAGGUUACUGCUUUCGGGUAGUUUCUAGAGUCGCCAGAAAUUGAUUAAACACCUUUUAAUUUAAAGCUGAAUUUAUAAAUUAAUUAUAAACAACUUUUGACAACGGAUCUCUUGGCUCUC